Molecule: ribosomal RNA, 497 nt
Filed under: uncultured bacterium
Lineage: Bacteria
Description: partial 16S ribosomal RNA
Rfam family: Bacterial small subunit ribosomal RNA
Source: RNAcentral
GAUGAACGCUGGCGGCGUGCCUAAUACAUGCAAGUCGAGCGAACGGACGAGAAGCUUGCUUCUCUGAUGUUAGCGGCGGACGGGUGAGUAACACGUGGAUAACCUACCUAUAAGACUGGGAUAACUUCGGGAAACCGGAGCUAAUACCGGAUAAUAUUUUGAACCGCAUGGUUCAAAAGUGAAAGACGGUCUUGCUGUCACUUAUAGAUGGAUCCGCGCUGCAUUAGCUAGUUGGUAAGGUAACGGCUUACCAAGGCAACGAUGCAUAGCCGACCUGAGAGGGUGAUCGGCCACACUGGAACUGAGACACGGUCCAGACUCCUACGGGAGGCAGCAGUAGGGAAUCUUCCGCAAAGGGCGAAAGCCUGACGGAGCAACGCCGCGUGAGUGAUGAAGGUCUUCGGAUCGUAAAACUCUGUUAUUAGGGUAGAACAUAUGUGUAAGUAACUGUGCACAUCUUGACGGUACCUAAUCAGAAAGCCACGGCUAACUACGUG